GCAAGGAUGGCGGAAUCGGUAGACGCGCUACUUUGAGGGGGUAGUGAAUUUCAUUCGUGGGAGUUCAAAUCUCCUUCCUUGCACCA
RNAcentral lists this transfer RNA (86 nucleotides) under Candidatus Caccenecus avistercoris. Its description in RNAcentral is "tRNA-Leu". It matches the Rfam family "tRNA". From Rfam's summary of the family: Transfer RNA (tRNA) molecules are approximately 80 nucleotides in length. The record is from RNAcentral. Lineage: Bacteria; Bacillati; Bacillota; Bacilli.